Molecule: ribosomal RNA, 532 nt
Filed under: uncultured Blastococcus sp.
Lineage: Bacteria; Bacillati; Actinomycetota; Actinomycetes; Geodermatophilales; Geodermatophilaceae
Description: bacterial SSU rRNA
Rfam family: Bacterial small subunit ribosomal RNA
Source: RNAcentral
UGGGGAAUAUUGCACAAUGGGCGCAAGCCUGAUGCAGCGACGCCGCGUGGGGGAUGACGGCCUUCGGGUUGUAAACCUCUUUCAGCAGGGACGAAGCGGAAGUGACGGUACCUGCAGAAGAAGCACCGGCCAACUACGUGCCAGCAGCCGCGGUAAUACGUAGGGUGCAAGCGUUGUCCGGAAUUAUUGGGCGUAAAGAGCUCGUAGGCGGUCUGUCGCGUCGGCUGUGAAAUCCCGAGGCUCAACCUCGGGUCUGCAGUCGAUACGGGCAAACUGGAGUGUUGCAGGGGAGACUGGAAUUCCUGGUGUAGCGGUGAAAUGCGCAGAUAUCAGGAGGAACACCGGUGGCGAAGGCGGGUCUCUGGGCAACAACUGACGCUGAGGAGCGAAAGCGUGGGGAGCGAACAGGAUUAGAUACCCUGGUAGUCCACGCCGUAAACGUUGGGCGCUAGGUGUGGGGCUCAUUCCACGAGUUCCGUGCCGCAGCUAACGCAUUAAGCGCCCCGCCUGGGGAGUACGGCCGCAAGGCUAA